This 884-nucleotide ribosomal RNA is filed under the name Xanthoparmelia subramigera. RNAcentral describes it as "eukaryotic LSU rRNA". It matches the Rfam family "Eukaryotic large subunit ribosomal RNA", at positions 1 to 899 of the family's 3401-position model. The record is from RNAcentral. Lineage: Eukaryota; Fungi; Ascomycota; Lecanoromycetes; Lecanorales; Parmeliaceae.
UUGACCUCGGAUCAGGUAGGGAUACCCGCUGAACUUAAGCAUAUCAAUAAGCGGAGGAAAAGAAACCAACAGGGAUUGCCUCAGUAACGGCGAGUGAAGCGGCAACAGCUCAAAUUUGAAAUCUGGCUCCUUCGGGGUCCGAAUUGUAAUUUGUAGAGAGUGCUUCGGGCGAGACCUCGGUCUAAGUCCAUUGGAACAUGGUGUCAUAGAGGGUGAGAAUCCCGUAUGCGACCGUGGCUCGAGCCCAUGUGAAGCCUCUUCGACGAGUCGAGUUGUUUGGGAAUGCAGCUCAAAAUGGGUGGUAAAUUUCAUCUAAAGCUAAAUACUGGCUGGAGACCGAUAGCGCACAAGUAGAGUGAUCGAAAGAUGAAAAGCACUUUGGAAAGAGAGUCAAAUAGUACGUGAAAUUGUUGAAAGGGAAGCGCUUGCAACCAGACCUGCCCGUAGGCGAUCCGCCGCUGUUCUCAGCGGUGUACUCGCUCUGCGAUCAGGCCAGCAUCGGUUUCGGCGGUCGGAUAAAGGCCUUGGGAAUGUAGCUUCCCUUCGGGGGAGUCUUAUAGCCCUCGGUGUAAUGCGGCCAGCUGGGACCGAGGACCGCGCUUCGGCUAGGAUGCUGGCGUAAUGGUUGUAAGCGACCCGUCUUGAAACACGGACCAAGGAGUCUAACAUCUAUGCGAGUGUUUGGGUGUCAAACCCAUACGCGGAAUGAAAGUGAACGGAGGUGAGAACCCUUAAGGGCGCAUCAUCGACCGAUCCAGAUGUCUUCGGAUGGAUUUGAGUAUGAGCAUAGCUGUUGGGACCCGAAAGAUGGUGAACUAUGCCUGAAUAGGGUGAAGCCAGAGGAAACUCUGGUGGAGGCUCGCAGCGGUUCUGACGUGCAAAUC